This 822-nucleotide ribosomal RNA is filed under the name uncultured bacterium SY6-1. RNAcentral describes it as "bacterial SSU rRNA". It matches the Rfam family "Bacterial small subunit ribosomal RNA", at positions 69 to 917 of the family's 1533-position model. The record is from RNAcentral.
AUGAAGUCCUUCGGGAUGGAUUAGUGGCGCACGGGUGAGUAAUAUAUAGUUAAUGUACCUUCAAGACUGGGAUAGCCACUGGAAACGGUGAUUAAUACUAGAUAUACCUCUUUAACAUAAGUUAGAGUGGGAAAUGUUUUUUCGCUUGAAGAUCAGACUAUAUCCCAUCAGUUUGUUGGUGAGGUAAUGGCUCACCAAGGCAAUGACGGGUAGCGGGUUUGAGAGGAUGAUCCGCCACACUGGUACUGAGACACGGACCAGACUCCUACGGGAGGCAGCAGUGAGGAAUAUUGCACAAUGGGGGAAACCCUGAUGCAGCAACGCCGCGUGGAGGAUGACGCAUUUCGGUGUGUAAACUCCUUUUAUGAGUCAAGAAAAUGACGGUAGCUCAUGAAUAAGCACCGGCUAACUCCGUGCCAGCAGCCGCGGUAAUACGGAGGGUGCAAGCGUUACUCGGAAUCACUGGGCGUAAAGGACGCGUAGGCGGGUUGGUAAGUCAGAUGUGAAAUCCUACAGCUCAACUGUAGAACUGCAUUUGAAACUACCGACCUAAAGUAUGGGAGGGGGAGAUGGAAUUAGUGGUGUAGGGGUAAAAUCCGUAGAUAUCACUAGGAAUCCAAAAGCGAAGGCGAUCUCCUGGAACAUACUGACGCUAAGGCGUGGAAANCGUGGGGAGCAAACAGGAUUANAUNCCCUGGNAGUCCACGCCCUAAACAUGAAACUAAUCGUCGGAAACUUGUCUUUUCGGGGAUGCACUUAACAAAUUAANNGUUCCNCCUGGGGAGUACGGGCGCNAGAAUUAAACUCAAAGGAAGUCGAACG